Molecule: ribosomal RNA, 325 nt
Filed under: uncultured eukaryote
Lineage: Eukaryota
Description: partial 18S ribosomal RNA
Rfam family: Eukaryotic small subunit ribosomal RNA
Source: RNAcentral
CCCUUAGAUGUUCUGGGCUGCACGCGCGCUACACUGACGCACCCAACGGGUUUACGACCUUGCCUGGAAAGGUUGGGUAAUCCUACAAAAAUGCGUCGUGGUGGGGACAGAUUACUGCAAUAACUAAUCUUCAACGAGGAAUUCCUAGUAAGCGCGAGUCAUCAACUCGUGUUGAUUACCUCCCUGCCCUUUGUACACACCGCCCGUCGCUCCUACCGAUUAAGUGAUCCGGUGAAUAGUUCGGACUGCUGCAAUGCUUGGAUCCCGAGAAUUGCGGCGAAAGUUUAGUGAACCUUAUCACUUAGAGGAAGGAGAAGUCGUAACA